UGGUGGCUUUGUGGACUUGGAUUUGACAAAGGAUAAGAAAAUUUCUCUUAGGAGUUUGAUUGAUCACUCGGUAGUGGAAAGUUUUGGAGCAGGAGGAAAGACAAUCAUAUUGUCUCGAGUUUAUCCACAGCUUGCAGUGUUAAAGCAAGCUCAUCUUUUUGUGUUCAACAAUGGCACUGAACCAAUCACCAUGAAAAAGCUAAAAGGAUG
This 210-nucleotide small RNA is filed under the name Vigna angularis var. angularis. RNAcentral's name for it is "Non-protein coding transcript". The record is from RNAcentral. Lineage: Eukaryota; Viridiplantae; Streptophyta; Magnoliopsida; Fabales; Fabaceae.